CUACCUGGUACACCCUAACUCGGUAUAUGACGUAGUCUAAGCAGAAACUAGAUAGAUAACAUUUCACUUGACUCAGCUGAUAAAUUAGUCCAGGUGGCAAAUUGGUUAGUGCGUGUAGCUUUUUUAUCCAGCUUGAAUUGCGCUCAGCGGCCUGCGGUUUAUAUUCUCUUAUGCGUCAUUCAAGCCGAAACAUCCACAAUCUUGGCCAAAAGUUCGAAGAACGACUGAAUGUUACGUUUGCACUAGUUUUCCCUACAUUUUUUU
This is a non-coding RNA of Paramuricea clavata, 264 nucleotides long. NCBI's taxonomy places the organism in Eukaryota, Metazoa, Cnidaria, Anthozoa, Malacalcyonacea, Plexauridae. The record is from the annotation of a GenBank genome assembly.